CCUACGGGAGGCAGCAGUGAGGAAUAUUGGUCAAUGGGCGGGAGCCUGAACCAGCCAAGCCGCGUGAGGGAAGAAGGUACAGCGUAUCGUAAACCUCUUUUGUCAGGGAACAAAGGCGGGGACUAGUCCCCGGAUGAGGGUACCUGAAGAAAAAGCAUCGGCUAACUCCGUGCCAGUAGCCGCGGUAAUACGGAGGAUGUGAGCGUUAUCCGGAUUUAUUGGGUUUAAAGGGUGCGGAGGCGGCCUGUUAAGUCAGCGGGAAAAGCCCGGGGCUCAACCCCGGCGAGCCGUUGAAACUGGCGGGCUGUAGUUGGAGAGACGUACGCGGAAUGCGCGGUGUAGCGGUGAAAUGCUUAGAUAUCGCGCAGAACCCCGAUUGCGAAGGCAGCGUACCGGCUCCACACUGACGCUGAGGCACGAAAGCGUGGGUAUCGAACAGGAUUAGAUACCCGGGUAGUC
RNAcentral lists this ribosomal RNA (459 nucleotides) under uncultured bacterium. Its description in RNAcentral is "partial 16S ribosomal RNA". It matches the Rfam family "Bacterial small subunit ribosomal RNA", at positions 338 to 795 of the family's 1533-position model. The record is from RNAcentral.